CAGCAGGCUCACACCAGAUACAGAAAUUGCCAGUGCUUUGAUCUUGGGCCUCCCAGCUUCCAGAACUAGGGACCCCAAGGAGCUCCCUCACCCCUUCUACCACAUAAGGACCUAACAAGGAGAUGGCCACCUGUGGAGCAGAAAGCAGACACUGGAUUUGCCGCCACUUUGAUCUUGGACUUCCCAGCCUCCAGAACUGAGCUGGAAGGCGACAGAAGCUCACCAGGCUCCCCGCUUAUGCUCAAGACGCCUGUGAUAUGACAUCAACCUGUCACUCAUGAAGACAGCAAAUCUAUCGGGUCAUAAAUUUGACUGGAAACUAAUACACUGGCAAUAAUAAGCAUUA
Suricata suricatta (meerkat) is the source of this 346-nucleotide long non-coding RNA. RefSeq lists it as uncharacterized. The transcript has 3 exons. NCBI's taxonomy places the organism in Eukaryota, Metazoa, Chordata, Mammalia, Carnivora, Herpestidae. The record is from RefSeq and is a predicted model, not a curated record.